GGGCCAAUCCGGUGAUCGAAACCGGCGCCUCUCGCAACCAAAGCGAGAAUCAUACCAUUAGACCACUUGGUC
RNAcentral lists this transfer RNA (72 nucleotides) under Necator americanus (New World hookworm). Its description in RNAcentral is "tRNA-Pro". The record is from RNAcentral. Lineage: Eukaryota; Metazoa; Nematoda; Chromadorea; Rhabditida; Ancylostomatidae.